Long non-coding RNA from Calidris pugnax (ruff), 748 nucleotides. RefSeq lists it as uncharacterized. The transcript has 3 exons. The record is from RefSeq and is a predicted model, not a curated record. Lineage: Eukaryota; Metazoa; Chordata; Aves; Charadriiformes; Scolopacidae.
UACUGCCGUUACUAGGCCUCCGGGGGCCGUACUUCCCUCACGGGAGGAAGAGCCAGCUGGUGUCUGCCUGCUCGUGAGAGGGUCACCUCGCCGGGCCCCCCCAGGCCCUCUCAGGGAGCGGGGGAGGGGGGCGUGGGCUGGGUGGAGCUGCCCCGCCGCCCCGCGGCAUCAUUAUUAGGAGAAAUUUCUACACCGAAAGGGUUAUCAAGCACUGGAAGAGGCUCCCCAGGGAACUGGUGGAGUCGCCAUCCCUGGAGCCCAGCUACCUGCUUCUACAUCUGCGCAGCUUCUGGAUGGUGCCAGCAUGAACAUUUGUGAAAUCAAGCAGUAAAUGAGAUUGAACUGAGAAGUCUAGAAAACAACCUGCUUUCCUUCCUUUUUGCUGAUCCAGUUCACCAACAUAAUAAAUGUGUCAGAGCGGCACUGGGGAUAGCACAGAGACAACAGAGAAUGGAAACAGCUUAAAUAGGCUUGUUCUGUCACCGAGCGCAUACCCAUGUGUUGACUUGCAUUGCCAUUUAGACCCUGCUCAGUGUCUCCUCGAAAACACUCUUGACACACCUACCAACUAUGAAACUGGAACUCUUCGAGUGCAUAAUUUCAUUAGUCAUCCUGCCGUGAGUCUUUGGCCUGGGCUGGACGACGGUGUUUGUCUCUGACAAAGUUUCCAGAAUUACCAGCAGCUUUGCAUUUCAUCGGCUUUGAAUACAUGGAAAUAUUGAGGCCUGUCCCUGCCAGAUGGUUAUCU